UACGACGGGAGCUAGCGUUGUUCGGAAUUACUGGGCGUAAAGGGCGCGUAGGUGGUUAUGAAAGCAAGAUGUGAAAUCUCUGGGCUUAACCUAGGAAUGGCAUUUUGGACUAUGUAACUGGGUGUGCGAGAGGGGAAAGUGGAAUGGCGAGUGGAGCAGUGAAAUGCGUUGAUAUUCGUUGGAACACCGGAGGCGAAGGCGGCUUUCUGGCUCGACACAGACGCUAAGGCGCGAAAGCGUGGGGAGCAAACAGG
RNAcentral lists this ribosomal RNA (254 nucleotides) under uncultured bacterium. RNAcentral's name for it is "partial 16S ribosomal RNA". It matches the Rfam family "Bacterial small subunit ribosomal RNA", at positions 524 to 776 of the family's 1533-position model. The record is from RNAcentral.